UUUAUUUAGAGAAUUUUCAAAAAAAUCCAGGGUCAUGAAUUUAUCUGUGAGUUUACUCUUGCUGCAGACAGCAGAAAUGGUGGAAAACCACAUUUCCAGCACGGCUGCAAGGUGGCGGUUGUUGUAAGGGUUUUAUCGGAGUUUACAGUUACUCUUUGCAAGGAAGAAUGCAGAAAGAAACCAAUGGGUGCCGGGGGCUGAUGCGGACGGUUGCACCGCCUCGCUUCACGCCUCCUCCCCACAUCCUGUGAGCGCUGCCCGCGUGCUCUCCCAGCUCUGGUGCCCGCUGGCUUGCUCGUGUCCUCCCGCCCGCAGGCAACGCCUGCCUGCUGCCUGCGCCCAGCCCGAGGCGGGGGCUGCCGGUGCCCCCGACGCUGCCGAGCCCCCGCGCGGUUUGGGCGCUGUGCCCCUGCCACCAGGCCCCGAGGUCUGCGGGGCGCGGGAGCCUGCAUUAUUUCCCUCUGCUCCCGGAGCCCGGGCAGCCUUCCGAUUCCCCCGGCAAGGUGGGCGACAGCAGUGCCUGGCGGUGUGCGGGACGUACUGCCUGCCCCCGCCCGCCUCUGCGCCCGGCAGGCACAGUUAAUGAAAGGGAAGUUACCGGAAAAGCACGGGGAAUCUCUGGAAAUGGCACUAACGAGCCUGUCCGCUCCGUUCAGUCCUGGAAAGCAGCAGCUCCACAGAGCUCCUUGUUCAGGGGUCUGAGUUGGAGCCCUGUGGGUCAGAACUGUGCUUCAAGCAGGGAAACUGCCGUGCCACGGCUUGGUGAGAGGGGGCCACAGACCGUGCCACCUCCAGCGUCUGGCCGUGCAGGGCUGGCAGCCUGGCUUUCCCCUUGCCAAUGGAAAACUUCCCAGGAUUCUUCUCCCUGUGAAGGAGGAUUUAUCCCAUUAACAUGGGACCCAGUCCUGAAACCUCAGCAGAGUUUACGUUCACAGUUCCUAAACAGAGACUUCAGACUGCAGUCCAACACCCCAGCUUCCUCUACAGAUGACUGCUAUUUUGGUUCCACAGGUGGUGUUAAUAUAUUCCUCUUUAGACUCCACUUCCUUGUACAGCUGAGUACAAUGUAAAUAACAUCUCAGUUGUCAUUUAAGAGGAAAGGAGUGAGAUGACUAGAAUUGGCAGAAAAAUCACAGGCU
RNAcentral lists this long non-coding RNA (1139 nucleotides) under Anser brachyrhynchus (Pink-footed goose). RNAcentral describes it as "lncRNA (ENSABRG00000022269.1)". The record is from RNAcentral. Lineage: Eukaryota; Metazoa; Chordata; Aves; Anseriformes; Anatidae.